Molecule: non-coding RNA, 242 nt
Filed under: Clostridium tetani 12124569
Lineage: Bacteria; Bacillati; Bacillota; Clostridia; Eubacteriales; Clostridiaceae
Description: T-box
Rfam family: T-box leader
About the family: Uncharged tRNA acts as the effector for transcription antitermination of genes in the T-box leader family. T-boxes are found upstream of many aminoacyl-tRNA synthetase genes and some amino acid biosynthetic genes usually in Gram-positive bacteria.
Source: RNAcentral
UUAAAAACUAUGAUAGGAAGAGUAGAUAAAGAACGUAGCCAAAGCGAACCAGUGACGGUGCAAGACUGGUGUUAUAUCUUUAUUGAAGAACAUCCUUGAGUUUCUAACUGAAAUCUAUAAGAAAGUAGGCUUAGAGGUAUUCAGUACCUUAUAACUGAUGCAUGAAUUUAUAAUUCAUGCUUAUUUGAGUGGUCAUUUAGACAAAUUGGGUGGUACCGCGAAGUCAGUCUUUCGUCCCUUUA